This 461-nucleotide ribosomal RNA is filed under the name Escherichia coli. RNAcentral describes it as "partial 23S ribosomal RNA". It matches the Rfam family "Bacterial large subunit ribosomal RNA", at positions 2187 to 2647 of the family's 2925-position model. The record is from RNAcentral. Lineage: Bacteria; Pseudomonadati; Pseudomonadota; Gammaproteobacteria; Enterobacterales; Enterobacteriaceae.
CGACCUUGAAAUACCACCCUUUAAUGUUUGAUGUUCUAACGUGGACCCGUAAUCCGGGUUGCGGACAGUGUCUGGUGGGUAGUUUGACUGGGGCGGUCUCCUCCUAAAGAGUAACGGAGGAGCACGAAGGUUGGCUAAUCCUGGUCGGACAUCAGGAGGUUAGUGCAAUGGCAUAAGCCAGCUUGACUGCGAGCGUGACGGCGCGAGCAGGUGCGAAAGCAGGUCAUAGUGAUCCGGUGGUUCUGAAUGGAAGGGCCAUCGCUCAACGGAUAAAAGGUACUCCGGGGAUAACAGGCUGAUACCGCCCAAGAGUUCAUAUCGACGGCGGUGUUUGGCACCUCGAUGUCGGCUCAUCACAUCCUGGGGCUGAAGUAGGUCCCAAGGGUAUGGCUGUUCGCCAUUUAAAGUGGUACGCGAGCUGGGUUUAGAACGUCGUGAGACAGUUCGGUCCCUAUCUGCCG